Gemmatimonadetes bacterium 13_1_40CM_4_69_5 is the source of this 358-nucleotide non-coding RNA. Lineage: Bacteria; Pseudomonadati; Gemmatimonadota. The record is from Rfam.
GGGGGCGACAGGUUUCGACGGGUUUGAUGAGGGUGUUGCUGCGUGCCGAGGUCGUCAGUCACCUCGAAAAACAACUGGCACUUUUUAACUGCCAACACUGAGUUGGCCCUGGCUGCGUAAGCUUCGGCUUACGCACCUGCGUGAGUGGCAGCCCGCCUGAGGCGGCGCUCACGUAUCGCAAAGUCGGGCUGGUGUGACCCGGGGCCCGAACGGGUUGCGCGAGAGUUGUAAAAGGGCUUGUUGCUGCCGGGGCCGGCGAGGCGCCACGGUAGUGAGACUCAAAAAGCGUCGCCUACGCACGUAGGAGCGGCAUCGGAGUCAGAUUCGGACCGGGGUUCGAUUCCCCGCGCCUCCAUUG